UACGAAGGGGGCUAGCGUUGCUCGGAAUCACUGGGCGUAAAGGGCGCGUAGGCGGACUUUUAAGUCGGGGGUGAAAGCCCAGGGCUUAACCCUGGAAUUGCCUUCGAUACUGGGAGUCUUGAGUUCGGAAGAGGUUGGUGGAACUGCGAGUGUAGAGGUGAAAUUCGUAGAUAUUCGCAAGAACACCAGUGGCGAAGGCGGCCAACUGGUCCGAAACUGACGCUGAGGCGCGAAAGCGUGGGGAGCAAACAGG
RNAcentral lists this ribosomal RNA (253 nucleotides) under uncultured bacterium. Its description in RNAcentral is "partial 16S ribosomal RNA". It matches the Rfam family "Bacterial small subunit ribosomal RNA", at positions 524 to 776 of the family's 1533-position model. The record is from RNAcentral.